Triticum aestivum (bread wheat) is the source of this 4485-nucleotide RNA transcript. It is a transcript of the gene named protein TOPLESS-RELATED PROTEIN 2, with no coding region annotated. The record is from RefSeq and is a predicted model, not a curated record. The transcript is spliced from 25 exons. Lineage: Eukaryota; Viridiplantae; Streptophyta; Magnoliopsida; Poales; Poaceae.
ACGCAGCCCCAAAAAACCAAAAGCAGACCAGAAAAAUAAAUACUCCCUACUCCAAAGAGAGAGAGAUAGAGAGACUGGUUUUGGAGAGAGAAAGCGAAGUGGGGAGAGAGAGAUAAGAAAAGGCAAACCCCUCCGUCGGCUAGAGCCAAGAGGAGAAGAAGGAAGCAGCAGCAGCUGGCGGCGGCGGCGGCCAAACCCUAGUCUACGUGCUGCGCCGCUGAGGGAGGAGACACGCGUGCGCCAUCGGUCGGCGCCAGGAGCUGCAGAUCCGCGGCCGGGCCGCCGGAAUCGGGGGAGAUCCCGCCGGGAUGGGUCCGCUUGGGCUGUGACCUCGCUCCCGCCGCCCGUUUCGUCUCAGGGGUUUUCGCCCUGCUAGGGUUCUAAGCUACUCGUUGGUUGUUUGGUGCGGUUUUUUCGAGGGGCGGUUGGGGCCCUGCGCUGGUUUCUACGGAGAUUUGGGAGGGGAUCUGCCGCCAAGGCGGGAGUCCUCCUUCGUCGUGAGCGCUGGAGACGCAGGGCGGGAUCGGGGGAGCCAUGUCGUCGCUCAGCAGGGAGCUGGUCUUCCUCAUCCUGCAGUUCCUCGACGAGGAAAAGUUCAAGGAGACGGUGCACAAGUUGGAGCAGGAAUCGGGCUUCUACUUCAACAUGAAGCACUUCGAGGACCUGGUCCAAGGUGGGGAGUGGGACGAGGUGGAGAGGUACCUCAGCGGCUUCACCAAGGUGGAGGACAACCGCUACUCCAUGAAGAUAUUCUUUGAGAUCCGCAAGCAGAAGUACCUUGAAGCCCUCGACAGGCAUGAUCGGGCCAAGGCAGUGGAGAUACUCGUCAAGGAUUUGAAGGUGUUUGCCUCCUUUAACGAGGAGCUGUUCAAGGAGAUAACGCAGCUGCUGACUCUGGAUAAUUUUAGGCAAAAUGAGCAGCUGUCCAAAUACGGGGAUACAAAGUCAGCCCGGAAUAUCAUGCUCAUGGAGCUUAAGAAGCUUAUUGAGGCAAACCCUCUGUUCCGAGACAAGCUUAAUUUCCCACCAUUUAAAGCCUCGAGACUGCGCACGUUGAUCAAUCAAAGUCUUAACUGGCAACAUCAGCUCUGCAAGAAUCCUAGACCAAACCCUGACAUAAAGACACUCUUCACGGAUCACUCCUGUGCUGCUCCUACCAAUGGAGCAAGAGCUCCUCCCCCUGCCAAUGGUCCUCUUGUUGGACCAAUCCCCAAGACAGCUGGAUUCCCUCCAAUGGGUGCUCAUGCUCCGUUUCAACCCGUGGUUUCACCAUCUCCAAAUGCAAUUGCUGGUUGGAUGACAAAUCCCAAUCCCUCCUUACCACAUCCUGCUAUUGCACAAGGGCCGCCCGGUCUUGUUCAGCCACCAAACACAGCGGCAUUUCUGAAGCAUCCAAGGACUCCUACAAGUGCGCCUGGCAUUGACUAUCAGUCUGCAGAUUCUGAACAUCUGAUGAAAAGAAUGCGUGUAGGCCAGCCAGAUGAGGUGUCAUUCUCUGGUGCAAGCCAUCCUCCCAAUGUUUACAGUCAAGAAGACCUCCCCAAACAAGUUGUUCGCACACUCAAUCAGGGUUCUAAUGUUAUGAGCCUGGAUUUCCAUCCUGUUCAACAAACUAUUCUUCUAGUUGGAACAAAUGUUGGUGACAUCGGGAUAUGGGAAGUUGGUUCACGCGAAAGGAUAGCACACAAGACAUUUAAAGUUUGGGACAUUGGCUCCUGCACCUUGCCAUUGCAGGCUGCACUAAUGAAAGAUGCUGCAAUAUGUGUCAAUAGGUGUCUGUGGAGCCCUGAUGGAAAUAUUUUAGGUGUGGCAUUUUCAAAGCAUAUCGUUCAGACUUAUACGUUUGUUCCUAAUGGAGAGUUAAGACAGCAAGCAGAGAUUGAUGCUCACAUUGGCGGGGUCAAUGACAUUGCAUUCUCUCACCCCAACAAGUCCCUAUCAAUUAUUACAUGUGGUGAUGACAAACUCAUUAAGGUAUGGGAUGCUCAGUCCGGACAAAAGCAAUACACAUUUGAAGGCCAUGAGGCUUCAGUGUACUCUGUUUGCCCUCACUACAAGGAGAACAUUCAGUUUAUCUUUUCUACCGCCAUCGAUGGAAAAAUCAAGGCAUGGUUAUACGACUGUUUGGGCUCACGGGUCGACUACGAUGCUCCUGGACAUUGGUGUACUACCAUGUCUUAUAGUGCUGAUGGUACAAGGCUCUUCUCUUGUGGAACUAGUAAAGACGGUGAUUCCCACUUGGUCGAGUGGAAUGAGACUGAAGGAGCUAUUAAGAGGACAUAUAAUGGCUUCAGGAAACGGUCACUGGGUGUUGUCCAGUUUGACACAACGAGAAACCAUUUUUUGGCUGCUGGAGAUGAAUUUGUUGUUAAAUUCUGGGAUAUGGAUAACACCAACAUACUGACAACAACAGACUGUGAGGGUGGACUGCCUGCAAGCCCGCGCCUGAGAUUCAAUAGAGAAGGGUCAUUGCUUGCUGUUACAGCAAACGAUAAUGGAAUAAAAAUAUUAGCAAACACCGAUGGGCAGCGUUUGCUGAGGAUGCUAGAGAGCAGGGCUUUUGAAGGCUCUCGUGGACCUCCUCAACAAAUUAAUACCAAGCCUCCACUGCUCACCAACCUUGGUUCUGCUUCAAAUGUAUCUAGUCCUAUAGCAGUGAACUCAGAGCGACCUGAUAGGAUGUUGCCUGCAGUAUCAAUGAGUGGACUGGCAUCUAUGGAUGUUAGCAGAACGCCGGAUGUUAAACCAAGAAUAACUGAUGAAUCUGAAAAGCUAAAGACCUGGAAGUUGGCCGACAUUGUUGAUUCAGGACAUCUUCGGGCACGGCGUUGUCCAGAUACAGGAGCAUCUCCAACAAAAGUUGUCCGUUUGUUGUAUACAAAUAGUGGGGUUGCACUUUUGUCUCUCGGUUCCAAUGCUGUUCAUAAGCUGUGGAAAUGGCAACGCAGUGACAGGAAUCCUAAUGGCAAGUCUACUGCAUCUAUUUCGCCUCACCUGUGGCAACCAGCAAAUGGGAUUCUAAUGACAAAUGACACAAGUGAUGGCAACCCAGAAGAAGCAACUGCCUGCAUUGCGUUGUCCAAAAAUGACUCCUAUGUUAUGUCUGCAUCUGGUGGCAAAGUCUCUUUGUUCAAUAUGAUGACGUUCAAGGUCAUGACUACUUUCAUGGCACCUCCACCUGCUGCGACUUUCCUCGCAUUCCACCCACAGGACAAUAAUAUUAUUGCUAUAGGAAUGGAAGACUCGACCAUUCAAAUCUACAAUGUCCGUGUUGAUGAGGUCAAAAGCAAGCUCAAGGGUCAUCAGAAAAAGAUUACCGGACUGGCAUUUUCUCAAUCAAUGAAUGUUCUUGUAUCUUCAGGUGCUGAUGCUCAGCUAUGCGUCUGGAGCAUUGAUGGUUGGGAGAAGAAGAAAUCAAAAUAUAUCCAACCCCCGGCAAAUCGCUCUGGUGCUUUAGUUGGCGAUACAAGGGUCCAGUUUCACAAUGACCAAACACAUCUUCUUGUAGUUCAUGAGAGCCAACUGGCAAUCUAUGAUGGAAAUCUUGAAUGCUCGCGCUCGGUCAUUGCUAAAUAUUUUUGAUUUAUACAUAUUUGCUUUUUUCUCCUUUAUGGAUUAUUAUUGUUACUGGGCAUCUUCAUUGAUUUCCCCUGUUACUUGAUGCAAAUGCAGUGGUACCCAAGAGAUGCACUGCCAGCGCCAGUUUCGAGUGCAAUAUACUCGUGUGAUGGUCUCCUGGUUUAUGCUGGUUUCUGUGACGGUGCUAUUGGAGUAUUUGAAGCCGAGUCCCUUAGGUUGCGUUGCAGGAUUGCACUUUCCGCCUAUGUGCCUCCUUCAAUAUCUAGCGGGGCAAAUGUGUACCCCAUGGUUGUAGCGGCGCAUCCCUUGGAGCCUAACCAGAUUGCAGUUGGAAUGAGUGAUGGGGCAGUUCAUGUGGUUGAGCCGCUGGACGCGGACCCAAAGUGGGGAGUCGCGCCUCCCCAGGAUAACGGAGCCCACCCGUCCAUGUCAUCAGCUCCAGCAGCAUCUAACAACCAGACGUCUGAUCAGCCAACGAGAUGACUCAGGCCACUAAACAAUGGUAGGACUCUAGGAGACAGGGAGAAAGAAAACAGUUAGAUUCAUGAGACAAGGUGAGGUGAUAUGUAUCAAUUCCACACCAUCUCCUUGCCACAGGUGGUGAUUGAUGAUGGCAUGUCUAGAUUAGUUUUUGGUUCCUGGUUGUUUUUUUGCCCCAAAAAUCUUAACUUCAUCACCUGGUGCCCUCUUCCUUUGUAAAGCUUUUCCUGCUCCCAGCUAGUGGUGGUUACUUAGAAGCCUUUAUUUGUUUUUAUUUAUUUAUGCUCCUUUAUUUGUGGGGGUAGUUACUUUGUAGUGUAAAAUAUGCUUGUCAUGUUGGAUGAUGAUGAUAUUUGCUUCGCUUGUUGCCGCCGAUUCGAUUGGCUAUUUAGCUUAUUUAAUUGAUGGGAGGAUUUGUAGUGUAAA